Oxyura jamaicensis (ruddy duck) is the source of this 1336-nucleotide long non-coding RNA. RefSeq lists it as uncharacterized. The record is from RefSeq and is a predicted model, not a curated record. NCBI's taxonomy places the organism in Eukaryota, Metazoa, Chordata, Aves, Anseriformes, Anatidae. The transcript is spliced from 2 exons.
UCAGUGCAAAUGUGAGCUCUGACUCAGAAGAACCAACCCUUGCAAUGGGAAGACAGGAGGUGUCCAUGCAGUGCAGUGUGAUGCUGCACAAAAUCCCUGAGCCAGCUCUGGACUGAAGCAAACAGUCUUCAUACCUUAAGUCUUAUGUAGAUUGCUAUCUGUGCAAAAGAGUACAAAGGGCAACCACAUUGAAAUGUGCCACAUCUUUGAAUGAAGAGCCAGGCAAUGGUGAGUCUGUUGAACUGUUCGGCAAUUGGUACUUGUCCACCUGAAUUCCAUGUAGGACCCUCUCGGAGAAACUGCACCAUUGACCCAUCAAAGGCAGAGGGAAAAGAGAAGCUGGAGGGACACCUAUUGACUGAAGAUGCGAUAAAAUUGCUCCCAUCAGCACGGAGGAGGGGAGUUAUUGGAGGAAAGUGUUCGGUGGAUGGGUGCAGAUGCAGAAAUAGAACCAAGUUCAUCUUGCUGUUGCAGAGAGCCCAGCAAAUAAAUGCCAACCAAAUGGGAGCCUGGAGCAGAGCUGGCAGAAGAAUAAUUCCAUUUCGUGGCACCUGAAUUUACUUCUAUCCAGACUGGAAGAAAGCAGAAUUUCUGGACAAAGUUUUGAGGAUGAAAACAGUGAGUUUGAAUAGUGAUUGAGAGCUGUAACAUGCAAAGUAAUAUCUGUGCUUUAUCUCAUUCAUAACAGCUUGUUUUAUUUCUUUUUCUCAGAUCAUUCCAAGUCAGGUAAAGCACAAAUUUCACAGACCAGUGUUUUUGUCAUUCAGUGCAGACUCUAUUUCUUUGUAAAAAAAUAUUCUUCUUUAAUGAAGCAGCAAGUAAGAAACAGCUCCAUUUGGAAGACUGAUAGAUGCUUUCCCAGGAUUGAGCCCCACCACAUGACAUUUCUUUUUGCCAAGCCAGCUCAAUGUUUGUAUUUCAGGGAUUGUGGACAAAAAUUGUCACAAGUUAAAUCCAAUUGUAUUAAAAACAAAACAAACAAAAAACAUAAAAAACAAAUCUAGUUUAAAUUGCAUUUCAAAUACAAAUUUAAUGUCGAUAGCUACUAUAUUAAAAUAACGUGCUGAAAACAAUCAAUAAAGCAAUGUAUUUUUGCCACAUAAGUGUAAGAUGAAAUUGCUGAAACUGUGGGAAUCUCUUCACGGAAUGACUGGGCCCAGAGUUUGCUAAAUUGAUAAAAUAGCUUUUUUAUAGCUCUAACUUCUCAAAGAUUGGUUUGUGCAUGUUACUGUAUUUAUUUCAGGGUAGUUUGCUCCAAAGAGUAAUUAAGUAAUAAUAAAAUGCCUGAAAGUUGAAAAAGCAGGAAUACUUGUUUGAUUCUUUGACCCUGUGCUUA